GGCUGGUACAAAGCCGACUGCCCACAGAUCAACCAGUGGCAAAGCCCCCAGGAAGCAACCGGCUGUGGAAGCUGCUUGCAGUAGUGCGCCCUCUCCUGGAAGGGUGAAGAAAACUCAUAAUUACAGGCCUGGUUACUGUGACACUCCAUGAUAUCAGACCUUAUCAGAAGUCCUCCAAACUUCUGAUUUGCAAACUUUCCUUCCAGCAUCUGAUGCACGUAAUUGCUCAGGACUUGAAAACAUCUGCGCUUUUAGAGCGCAGCUAUUGGUGCUUUGCAGGAGGCAAGUGAGUGAGGGCUAUCUGGUUGGCCUUUUUGAAGACACCAACUUGUGCACUAUCCAUGCCAAAUGUGUAACAAUUAUGCCAAAAGUCGUCCAGCUAGCACAUCUCAUACGUAGAGAA
Molecule: long non-coding RNA, 403 nt
Filed under: Homo sapiens (human)
Lineage: Eukaryota; Metazoa; Chordata; Mammalia; Primates; Hominidae
Description: non-protein coding lnc-MCTP2-11:1
Source: RNAcentral